UACGUAGGGGGCAAGCGUUGUCCGGAUUUAUUGGGCGUAAAGAGCGUGUAGGCGGUCUGGUAGGUCCGUUGUGAAAACUCGAGGCUCAACCUCGAGACGCCGAUGGAAACCCUCAGACUAGAGUCCGGAAGAGGAGAGUGGAAUUGCCGGUGUAGUGGUGAAAUGCGCAGAUAUCGGGAGGAACACCAGUGGCGAAGGCGGCACUCUGGGCCGGAACUGACGCUGAGGAGCGAAAGCGUGGGGAGCGAACAGG
Molecule: ribosomal RNA, 253 nt
Filed under: uncultured bacterium
Lineage: Bacteria
Description: partial 16S ribosomal RNA
Rfam family: Bacterial small subunit ribosomal RNA
Source: RNAcentral